UAAAAUAGAACAUGUGAAUAAUGUGUUUCAGUUACAUUGAAAAAAAGCUAUUGUUAGUUAUUUUAA
RNAcentral lists this transfer RNA (66 nucleotides) under Owenia fusiformis. RNAcentral describes it as "tRNA-Val". Lineage: Eukaryota; Metazoa; Annelida; Polychaeta; Sabellida; Oweniidae. The record is from RNAcentral.